UACGUAGGGUGCAAGCGUUGUCCGGAAUUAUUGGGCGUAAAGAGCUCGUAGGCGGUCUGUCGCGUCGGAUGUGAAAAAUCCAGGGCUUAACCCUGGGCCUGCAUUCGAUACGGGCAGACUAGAGUUCGGUAGGGGAGACUGGAAUUCCUGGUGUAGCGGUGAAAUGCGCAGAUAUCAGGAGGAACACCGGUGGCGAAGGCGGGUCUCUGGACAGUUCCUGACACUGAGGCACGAAGGCCAGGGGAGCAAACGGG
This 254-nucleotide ribosomal RNA is filed under the name uncultured bacterium. RNAcentral describes it as "partial 16S ribosomal RNA". It matches the Rfam family "Bacterial small subunit ribosomal RNA", at positions 524 to 776 of the family's 1533-position model. The record is from RNAcentral.